This 208-nucleotide ribosomal RNA is filed under the name uncultured bacterium. RNAcentral describes it as "partial 16S ribosomal RNA". It matches the Rfam family "Bacterial small subunit ribosomal RNA", at positions 1294 to 1500 of the family's 1533-position model. The record is from RNAcentral.
CGGAUUGAAGGCUGAAAUUCGCCUUCCAUGAAGCCGGAAUUGCUAGUAAUGGCAGGUCAGCAUACUGCCGUGAAUACGUUCCCGGGCCUUGUACACACCGCCCGUCAAACCAUGAGAGUUGGCAACACCCGAAGUCGGUAGUCUAACCGCAAGGAGGACGCCGCCGAAGGUGGGGUUGAUGAUUAGGGUUAAGUCGUAACAAGGUAGC